AGCAUGUUCUAAUUUUUUUCGCCGCAACGUUAAUUCACACCAAACAUUUCAUCUCAAACCUCAAGGCCGAUUUCGAAAUUAUAUCUCGCGCUCAGUACCCCCUUUAUUCUUCCCUCAGCGUUCCCUGCGUCUCACCCGUCGCCGGUGGUUCUCGCGAGUCUCCGUCGCCGCUGGGUCUCGCCCGUCGCCGGUGGUACUCCAGCAAGGGUAUAUUUCCUCGCCUCCUCGCCUCCUCACCAGUGGUUCCUUGGGGAUUUGGGAGUUAUGUAUUUUCGUAUCGGCGGCAGAGCACCACUCCACCGUAGCGACGUGAGUGACGGCGCUUAGAGUGCUCGAUAAAGAAGAUCCACUUCAUCUUAUCUAAUAUUCCUCCUCUAGGAAACGUUGAUGAGAAAGAUGCUAUUGAGAUGUGGAGUGCAGGUGAUACCCCUUUCUUGUUUGAUUAAUUGGCUUCUGGUGUCCAUCAAUUUCUUUUGUUUUCACACCCUAUGAUUUCUCAUUCUUAUUUAUCCAGAUUAGUCUUAGCGCUGCAGACUUGGGGGAGACUUUAUGCUCCCUGAACUUUUCUAGUCGAGUCAAGGGAAUCGAAUAUGGUCCAUAUUUGGUUGGUUGCUUUUUUGUUCUGUUCUGUAUGAGAUAUUGGUGCAUUCCCAUUGUGUAUUAGCUAGACAUUUGUCCUCUGAGUAUGAACUUAUGUUGGAAAUAUGGUAGAAUAGGUAGGAAUUUCUUCACUCUUAGACCAAUUAAAGGGUUCAAAUGGUAUUUCUAAACUAGCAGAACUGUGAUGGAUGGAUGGCCUUCAAGCGAAUUGUAUACAUGUAGAGUUCACCUCUUAUAUACUCGAAUGCAUAGAGAUUGUAUGCGUACAGUUUAAGGCCGGCUAGAGAUAGUCACGUUACACCAUGACUACGAAGGCCGGCUAGAUGAGGUCUAUACUCCGAGGAAUGCGCCUUAUGCUAGUGAGGAAAUUGAUGUGGUUCGUGAGCAAUGGGCUAAGUUUUUUACGAGCAAGUAUUUAUUAUUGGCCUGAGCGCGCUUGAUUGAGUAGGUUUAGAUGUUAUAGAACAAUCUUUUACUUCGUAUAUUAAAAUGUAUGCGUUCCUUGAAAUUGGAACGUACAUAUAUUUAAAUGUAUAUGGUACGUGCACUUUGGUUUUGGAAUAUAUACAAAACUACAGUUAUUGUUUUUA
Spinacia oleracea (spinach) is the source of this 1190-nucleotide long non-coding RNA. RefSeq lists it as uncharacterized. The record is from RefSeq and is a predicted model, not a curated record. The transcript has 3 exons. Lineage: Eukaryota; Viridiplantae; Streptophyta; Magnoliopsida; Caryophyllales; Amaranthaceae.